CCUACGGGAGGCAGCAGUGAGGAAUAUUGGGCAAUGGACGAGAGUCUGAACCAGCCAAGCAGCGUGAAGGAUGACUGCCCUCUGGGUUGUAAACUUCUUUUUUAUGGGAGUAAAAGGUUCCACGUGUGUGUUUUUGUAUUUACCGUAUGAAUAAGGAUCGGCUAACUCCGUGCCAGCAGCCGCGGUAAUACGGAGGAUCCGAGCGUUAGCCGGAUUUAUUGGGUUUAAAGGGAGCGUAGGUGGUUUGUUAAGUCAGUUGUGAAAGUUUGAGGCUCAACCGUAGAAUUGCAGUUGAUACUGGUCGUCUUGAGUGCAGUAGAGGUGGGCGGAAUUCGUGGUGUAGCGGUGAAAUGCUUAGAUAUCACGAAGAACACCGAUUGCGAAGGCAGCUCACUGGGCUGCAACUGACGCUGAGGCUCGAAAGUGUGGGUAGCAAACAGGAUUAGAUACCCUAGUAGUC
This 460-nucleotide ribosomal RNA is filed under the name uncultured bacterium. Its description in RNAcentral is "partial 16S ribosomal RNA". It matches the Rfam family "Bacterial small subunit ribosomal RNA", at positions 338 to 795 of the family's 1533-position model. The record is from RNAcentral.